CAGGGAAUAGUUUAAAUAGAAUUUCAGCUUUGGGUGCUGAUGGCGGAGUAUAGUACUUCUUCCUUGA
This 67-nucleotide transfer RNA is filed under the name Eubalaena glacialis (North Atlantic right whale). RNAcentral describes it as "tRNA-Pro". The record is from RNAcentral. Lineage: Eukaryota; Metazoa; Chordata; Mammalia; Artiodactyla; Balaenidae.